Molecule: small RNA, 547 nt
Filed under: Pongo abelii (Sumatran orangutan)
Lineage: Eukaryota; Metazoa; Chordata; Mammalia; Primates; Hominidae
Description: processed transcript
Source: RNAcentral
UACUGCGGCUCCUGCUGCCGCCGCCGCUCGGCCUCAGGCAGCUGCAUCCUCGGCCGGGCCGGGUCCCCGCCCCGCGCCGCGCCCGGCCCCGCCAUGGUGUCCUGGAUCAUCUCUCGCCUGGUGGUGCUCAUCUUUGGCACCCUGUACCCAGCCUAUUCUUCCUACAAGGCCGUGAAGACAAAAAACGUGAAGGAAUAUGUGAAAUGGAUGAUGUACUGGAUUGUCUUUGCCUUCUUCACCACGGCCGAGACGCUCACGGAUAUAGUGCUCUCCUGGUUGGAGUGUAGUGGUAUGAUCUCGGCUCACUGCAGCCUCGACCUCCUGGGCUCAAGUGAUCCUCCCACCUCAACCUCCUGAGUAGCUGGGACCACAGGCACACGCCACCACACCUGGCUUAUUUUUUAUUUUUUGUAGAGAUGGGGUUUUGCUGUGUUACCAGGCUGGUCUUGAACUCCUGGGCUCAGAUGAUCCUCCCACAUUGGCUCCCAAAGUGCUGGGAGAUUACAGGCCACUGUGCCAGGCCUAUACAUGUGUCUUGACACAGCAA